This is a non-coding RNA of Taeniopygia guttata (zebra finch), 3271 nucleotides long. Lineage: Eukaryota; Metazoa; Chordata; Aves; Passeriformes; Estrildidae. The record is from RefSeq and is a predicted model, not a curated record.
CGCUCCUCGCCCGCCCGCGGGAGCGCGCGCAGCCCCGCGCGCGCCUUGUCUGUGUCUCUGCUCCCCCCGCCCGAUGCCGCCGCCGCUCUGGGCGCGUGCGCGGCGGCGCGCCCCCCGCGCGCUCCUACAGCCCGUGCGGCCGCGCGCCCCUCAGGGACAGCGCGGGCUCGUGCCCCGCGGACGCCCCGGCGGCGACGGCGGCGCCCCGGCCCCGGGCUGCAGCUGCUGUUGCCAUGAUGAUGUCGUCACGGAUGCAACCACUGGGAGGAUGGGGACGGGGGCGGACGGGCCAUGCGUUGGAGGGGAAAGGGGCUCAACGAGCGGAGGAGGUGUCCGUCACUCCCCGACACACACGCGCGCUCCCCCGCUCCCACCUUUCAGUUGGGCUCGGCAGGCUGCGCGCGAGCGCGCGUGGGAGCGGGGGGAAAAAUAUCUUUGUAUCGCCUCCCCUGGUGGGGAGGGAGGAGGCAGGGAGGGAGAGAGGGACGGCCUCGGUGAUUCGGCGAUCGGCCGCGCGGGCUGGGGGUGAGGCUGCGGAAUCCCGAGCCGCGGAUGGGGCGGGAGAGGCAGCGCCGCCGGAACACGACGGGGUUAAGCUGGGUCGACCGCCAUUUUGAAUGGCGGGGAGGUGAGUCUCCCCACGCCGCAGGGGCCAGCCAAAAAGAAAAAAAACACCUUAAGAAGAUGAGGGCGAGGACGGGGACGGGACCGGGCGGAGGGGAUGGAGCGCCCGCUCGCCCGCAGGUUGUGAGGGUCUUGCCAUUGCCCUGUAUCAGAAAACCCUGCUGCUGAAUGUGCCUACAGGAAAAUGCAUAAGUAUUCAAGAAAAUUAUAUAAAUUUAAGCAUAAACAUUAAUAAAGAAAUAAUGUGUAAUAAUGUAGGACUAUGCCACUUUUUGAAAAAAUUGAGAAAGUAUAGUUAAUUGAGAAGCAGCAUAUGCAUCAUGUAAGAAGAGGCCCAGUAAACACUUAAUUGUAAAGAUGAGAUUCCUGAUCUGCUCUUAGCUGACAGAAUUCUAUAUGUCAAGAAGUGAUUGAGGUUCCCUUCCAUGCUUGGAAAAUGACCUGUUGUUAAGAAUGAAAUAAUUACAGGAUUGCAUAAGGAAUUCACUUUAGUGUAACAAGAACAUACAUUGUUGAGAAGCAGUUAACAGUAUAGCAGUAAGUGGCGUUUAGAGAUUGCAUAUAUGACAGUGAGAAUUUCAUAGAUGAAAUUUAAUUAAGAUGAACUGAUUAAGUCUUAGAUAAUUGAGGGAUAGUGCUAGAGUUGUUUGCAUUGCUGAACCAGCGUAAUUUAAAGACCUUUUGCCUAUUGCUUUGUACUGAUGACUGUAUAAGUGGGGAAUGGACUCAAAAGAGAAAACAGUGUGUAAUGACAUAUAACAUUUGAGCAUUACUACUAUUUUGGGAAAUGGUAUGUUCAACAGAGUAUACAAAGAAAAGUGGUUGAACAUUUGAAUAGCUUAAAAAAAAAAAAAUCAAAGUAAUAGGUUUAUUUUUACAGGAAGAGCUACCAAUCCCUCCAUACUCUGAAAUUUCUGUUCCACACAAUGCAGCUCAGGUAUAUGAUUGUAAGAAUUGCUUUUAAACAGGCAAGUGAAACAUAAUUUUUCAUAUUCUAGUUUUUAUGAAUAUCUGAAGCAUUUAGUUGAAAGUCUCCAUUGAGAAAUACGUCUGGUGUGAAAACAGUUAGCCCAAAUGGUUCAAAUAAUAAGUAAUUAGAAGGAUGUCAUAAUGGAAAAUUUUCAAGUACUAUAACUGCCAAAAGCCCUAUCAUUCUUCUAUAACUUCUGUAGCCAAAUACACAUGAGUAUGUGGUUAUUAUUUGAAUUUUUGUUGUUUUAAAAUGGGAAAUGGGUUUCUGUGAAUGAAUCACAGAAAUGGGUUUGGAUGGUAAGGAGUGAAAGCCAUUUAAUUUUAGAUGCUCCGUUUUUUUCUGCCAUGUAGUCUGACUUAUGGGAGGCAUUCCUUGUUCAUGCAUCAGACAAAGUGAAAGAAGCCCCAGCACAUAUGUAGAUCACAAACAGCCAUCUGUUUCUCAGAAGGAAAGAGGAGUGUUGCUAUAAGAGUAAACUUAAAAUGUUUUAAGAUUAGCUUAGAGAUGGCAGAGCUCCAUUAAAUAUUUUGUCCAUCUCUGUUGGUCGCUGUCAUAUAUGAAUGUAUACAUUAUACUGAAGCUUCAGAUGCCUGCUAUAUUUUUUUCUGUUAGGACAAUUACCUCUAGUUUAGAACUCAGUAUAUGCUUUCUCUGAGUUCCUAAAUAAGUAUAUAUAUAAGUUUUUAUCACCUCAAUUAUUUUUCCUUCUUGGGGUUUAUUCCUUUGAAGUAAUUUUCCUGAUCAAACUGAAUGUUAAGAAAAAAGAAUUUUGAACUUUUUACUUGCUUAGCUUAAGCUAAGUAAAGUAACACUUGUUUAGGCUUGUAACAUUUCCUUUUGAUUCUUUCCAGGUCCUAAAGAAUUUUUAUUAUUUUUAUGUGAAUUCCAUCCAAUUUGCAUAGAUCUUUCUUGUAAUAUGCCUAGAACACUGUUGUGAUUUCCAGACGUGGUUGUAAAGAGUGUGGAUGAAGCAUUUAUAUUUUAUGUCCAGGCAACCAUAUGACCUCCAUUUGUAGGGCAGAAUUAAUUACUUGGGAGUAUUGAUGUUUGGUCCACCACGAGGUUUGAAGGACUAUGUUGGCUGUCCACAAAUAAAGUGCUGCACAGUCUGCUUACAGCCAUGUUAGACAAACCAUUACCGUCUUUACAACCUUCCUGCUCCAGGAUACACUGCUUCCAAGUAUGCAACCCAAUUCUAAAUUAGUCUCUUUGCUGGUACUCUUACCAAUCUAUUUGUAGUUUCUGCUUGCUUGUUAUCCUUAGAUCCUUUAUAAAUAUGAUGCCAUCGCACUGAAUAUAUUCCAGAAUUUGUUCCAGAAUAUUUCUCUCAGUCUUUUCCAUAGCAGUAGCUUGCUUUUUCUUGUAGUCAGUUUAAUUUUACAGUUUUCUGUCUGCAUUUUAGCCUCACCAAUUUAUGUUGAAGUAUCUCAGUGUCCUCAGAGUUGCCCACAUUGUAGCCUCUUGGGGAUUAAUGAAGCUGUCAAAUAAAACAAGGCCUCACAAUGGUUCCUGUGGCACCACAGCUGUAGAUAAAUUACUUCUUUUCUAUAUUAUUAUUAUGUUAUUUUAAUAUUGAGAUAUUCUUAUUAUUAUUACUAUGACAGUCUGCAGACCCCGUUAGCACACAGAUCUACCUGGACAAUUUGAAUUUUGCAAAUAAAAUUAAUUUUCCUA